AACGAACGCUGGCGGCAUGCCUAACACAUGCAAGUCGAACGAGACCUUCGGGUCUAGUGGCGCACGGGUGCGUAACGCGUGGGAACCUGCCCUUAGGUUCGGAAUAACUCCCCGAAAGGGGUGCUAAUACCGGAUAAUGUCUUCGGACCAAAGAUUUAUCGCCUUUGGAUGGGCCCGCGUUGGAUUAGCUAGUUGGUAGGGUAAAAGCCUACCAAGGCGACGAUCCAUAGCUGGUCUGAGAGGAUGAUCAGCCACACUGGGACUGAGACACGGCCCAGACUCUUCCGGAGGGAAGAAGUGGGAAUAUUGGACAAUGGGCGAAAGCCUGAUCCAGCAAUGCCGCGUGAGUGAUGAAGGCCUUAGGGUUGUAAAGCUCUUUUACCCGGGAUGAUAAUGACAGUACCGGGAGAAUAAGCUCCGGCUAACUCCGUG
Molecule: ribosomal RNA, 432 nt
Filed under: uncultured bacterium
Lineage: Bacteria
Description: partial 16S ribosomal RNA
Rfam family: Bacterial small subunit ribosomal RNA
Source: RNAcentral